UUGUUUUGUGCUUUGUGUUUGUCAAGUUUGGAAUAGUUUAAUGUAGAAUUUGCAAACUUGGAAAUGAAACAAAUGCAAUUUAAUUUCCCAUUGUAUAGGCCUAUAUAAGGUUUAACUGAGAAUAAAAUGCUGAUUUGACUUGUUUGGCUCACAGAGGCUGAGACUGGGUGAGUCCCAAUAUACCAUUUGGACCGUCCUUUGGGCAGAUUUGGAUGCCUUUCACAACAAUGAUGUUCAAGUUAACAUCCGAAUGGCCUGCAGUCAUGGAGAGCUCUGAUUCUGCCCUGUGGGCUGGAAAGUUCACAAAGCCAGGGGCUGGUCUUUGAAGAACCCUCUUCCUCGUUCUGCCCUUCCUCUGCCCUCUCAGAUGCAAGGUAACCUCAGCACAUCAAAGAGAGGCUCCAUACAGAGUCCACUUGAUGCUGUUAUCCUCCCACCCCCAAAAACACACACUCACGGCACCACAGCUCCCCUUACACACAUAGUCCAGCCAUUGCAUAGCAUUUGAACAAAAAAACCCAACAACAACCUACAACCAAAUCACCAGUCCCACCUGUUAACCUGACCUCUGUUUGUCCUGGUGUUCUAGUAAGUGGAUUGCCAAAUGACUUCCCUCGCCUCUGUGAUGUGAAAUGAAAAUCAAAUAUGCUGCUGUAAGAACCUCAGGGCAAUAGGGCAGGUGCCCAAGACAAUAUUUGGCAGAGAAAGAUGCCACCACCCAAAUGUGAGUGUGCACGCCAGGCCAGAGGUGAUCCUGAAUGCCGGUUGUCAGCAAGCCCAGCGUUCUCUCGGCAGGCAUGACCCGUGGAGUCAUUAUCCCUCCAGGUAAAUCACCUCGCAAUCAGUGUCUGAAGCCCCCUGCUCUCCAGAUGAUUCCCCUGCUGAUUGGCCUAACUGGUCUCCUGUCUGAGGAACGAUUACCCUGCAUUGUUUUCUUUAUGGCACAUAGAUUGAGCUGUUGUUAGCAUCCGCUCGAUGGGUAGAGGCAGCAUGCGUGAGGCCGGGAUGCGAGGAUUUUCUCUGAGGUCGCUCUCAUCGCGCUUGAUAAUAGUAACAGGAAAAGCAUAGGCAAGAUUUCAUUCUAAUGGUUUUGAAUGAGCCUUUUAAUUUGAAAUGGCAAACUAUGAUUUCUUGAACUGGAAAUGGUAGCCAAGUUGGUCGAGGUUCGGGCCAGACUCAACUCUGAAACUGGAGAAUGAAAUGAUCAAGAUGUAGUUGGAACAUUUAUUAUUUGUCAUUGGCACUUGCAAAUUAGCUUUUAUGAACUUGAGUUCCAGUAGUGAUCAAGCCUUAUUGUAUUUCCGUUUACGGCGUUUGACCUCAAAAACAACAAGAUGCUCUACACUCUCAAUAGCACAAUUCCCCAUGUUAAAUUUAUCUUCUAUAUUGAUAAACUGGAUUCUCUUGAAAGACUGACAAUAGUAUUGUUCACACAGUAUUAAGGAUUUCUUACACAGUGUAACAAUCUACAAUCAGCACAGCAACAUUCUGAGUGUUGCUGUAGAUAUUUUCAUUGGCAUAUCACAUGGCAAUCCCAAUCACAAUUCAGUGCAUUCAAACAUGUAGACAUGGUCAAGAUGAUCUGCUGAAGUUCAAACUGAGCAUCACAAUGGGUGAGUUGAAAGGUGAGUUAAGUGACUUUGAAUGUGGUAUGGAUGUUGUUGCCAGACAGAAAGGUCUGAGUAUUUCAGAAACUUCUUAUCUACUGGGAUUUUCAUGCACACCUAUCUCUAGGGUUUACAGAGAAUGGUCAGAAAAAGAGAAGAUAUCCAGUUAUCGGCAGCUCUGUGGGGAAAAUGCCUUGUUGAUGCCAAAGGUCAGAGGAGAAUGGCCAGACUGGUUGGAGCAACAGUAACUCAGGUAGAUACGCCACAGGACAGGGUGUUUCCGCACAAGAAGUAACGGCAAAGAAAUGCUUCAAAGAGAGAGGUGAUUUUGGAGUCUUGUGAUGGCACAGUUACUGGUCCACCUCAUCUCGCAAAUCUUAAAAAUGCAUCAAGCUCAACAAAACAGGGACACUGAGCCCCCCUCUUACUGGGAUUAUCUGUCUGCUGGGUGAACAAGCCACGUCCUGCCCACUGCACCCAAUUCACAGAGAAAUUUACUCAAAUCUGACAGUUCUUUACUCUGGAAGAGGCUUGGAAUGUCACCAAAGUGGUUGUAAAGUCCAUGGAAAUGUAGUACCCUAAACUCUUUUAGUAGUGAUUGUAAGAAGAAUUUUGUGUUCAAAUAAUCUACAGCACCAAUGAUA
Long non-coding RNA from Pimephales promelas (fathead minnow), 2251 nucleotides. RefSeq lists it as uncharacterized. The record is from RefSeq and is a predicted model, not a curated record. NCBI's taxonomy places the organism in Eukaryota, Metazoa, Chordata, Actinopteri, Cypriniformes, Leuciscidae.